Molecule: ribosomal RNA, 460 nt
Filed under: uncultured bacterium
Lineage: Bacteria
Description: partial 16S ribosomal RNA
Rfam family: Bacterial small subunit ribosomal RNA
Source: RNAcentral
CCUACGGGAGGCAGCAGUGAGGAAUAUUGGUCAAUGGGCGGAAGCCUGAACCAGCCAAGUCGCGUGAGGGAUUAAGGCCCUGCGGGUCGUAAACCUCUUUUGCCGGGGAGCAGAGGUCCGGACGUGUCCGGGCCGGGAGAGUACCCGUAGAAAAAGCAUCGGCUAACUCCGUGCCAGCAGCCGCGGUAAUACGGAGGAGUCGAGCGUUAUCCGGAUUUAUUGGGUAUAAAGGGUGCGUAGGCGGGCAUUUAAGCCGGCGGUCAAAUGUCGGUGCUCAACCCCGGCCUGCCGUCGGAACUGGGUGCCUUGAGUGGGCGAGAAGUAUGCGGAAUGCGUGGUGUAGCGGUGAAAUGCAUAGAUAUCACGCAGAACCCCGAUUGCGAAGGCAGCAUACCGGCGCCCUACUGACGCUGAGGCACGAAAGUGCGGGUAUCGAACAGGAUUAGAUACCCGAGUAGUC